AUGUGACCACUUGUCACACUUCCAUCAAACAGUACCUGCCCCUUAGGUGUGCUAGGGAAUAAAUGAAAUGCCUGGGACAUCAUCGUUAAGUGGCAUCUGAUGCAUAAGCAGUGCCCUAGGAAUGGGGUUGCCUGCCUUGGUCUCUAAAGGAUGGGUUCAAAAGGCAAGAGCAGCACACAAGAAGAUAGCUUCAAGCAGGAGAUAAAGCUUGGCCCAGGGCCCAAAGGGGAUACGACCCUUCAGCAAACUGACAUGCUGAAAGCUGCCCUAUGGAGAGGCUCAUGUGGCAAGGAACAGAGGGUGGCUUCUGGCCAACACCCAGUGAGGAACUCAGGCCCUCAGUCAAACAGCCUGCAAGGAACUGAACCCUGCCAAUAACCAGGCAGUGUCAGCCCCCGGCCAAUGACCACCAUGGACCUCCCUGUAGUUGAACAAAGUUGGGUUUGCUGACUGGUGGCAGUGAGGGAGAAUGCACACCACAGGGAGCUGUGCAGUGUCUCAGUAAGAAGCCAGGAGCCAUCCCGUGAGGCCGUUACUGCAAACAAGCUGAAAAUCCUGCUUUGUUUCUUUUGGACACAACAUGCUUUCCUUCAGCUUCAGUAGACGAUGAGGCCAGCACCACAUGGGCUAGAUGUACAUGAGAUGUGAGCAACCACACUUCCCCUCUGACGGGGACAGACAGCAUCACAGGACAUGAAGUUCUAAGAGGUUCAGUGACUUGUCUAAGAUUAAACAGCUAUGAAUGGAGAACUGGAGGCAAAUGCCUCAUCAUCUCUCACCUGGGCAACUGCAACAAUGAGCAGUUUGUGUCUGUGCCUGCAUCCAUCCUUCCAUCCUGUACUCCAGCAGCAGCCAGGGUGGUCUUUCAAAAAUGCAAAGCUGAUAAUGUUACUCCCCUGCUGUAAACCUUCCAGCGGUUUCCUAUUGCCUUCAGAAUAAAAUACGAAUCAUCUGGCCUCCAUCUAUCUCUCCAGGCUCAUCCUCUCUCAAUUUUCCAUAUCCUUCAGGCUGAGCUCUGAAACUUCUCCUGGCAGUUCAAGAGAGCGAUGGAGGGAAUGCUGGGGCACAUCUAAAUAAAGCCUCCAAGUGGGAGUUCCUGCU
RNAcentral lists this long non-coding RNA (1101 nucleotides) under Homo sapiens (human). RNAcentral's name for it is "CSMD2 antisense RNA 1". The record is from RNAcentral. Lineage: Eukaryota; Metazoa; Chordata; Mammalia; Primates; Hominidae.